Scatophagus argus is the source of this 1090-nucleotide long non-coding RNA. RefSeq lists it as uncharacterized. The record is from RefSeq and is a predicted model, not a curated record. NCBI's taxonomy places the organism in Eukaryota, Metazoa, Chordata, Actinopteri, Scatophagidae. The transcript is spliced from 2 exons.
AUCACCAAAACACGGGACAGAUAAAAGCCCCUCCCUUACUGAUUCAGAAAACGACAUCAUCAGUAGGGACCGACAGGCUCGAAGCCGAGAGCCACGGACUGGACUGAGAACCCGAUCUUAUUAGGAGGGACUGACGCCUCCUAAUGACCCAUAAUCCUCAGCGAGGCUGACGGUGUGGACUUUCAGCCUUGAGUCUCAGUUUGGUCUGACGGUUUGAAGGGUGGAGUCCGCUGCCUGCCGCAAGCUGAGGAAAUGGGUUAACAGGAUUCAAUCACACACUGCAGCCAAUCCAAUUAUGUAGUUAGCCGGAGCUCAGGUGCACCUGGCAGCGGCCAGGGCAGCUCCUCGUCUGCGUUUGGUGGAAGGAAAACAUGAACUGGAGGGAAAGUCUGGUGGUUCGUCCAUGUGUGGAGCACAGCGAGACCCUGACUGAAGUCUUUCCUUCAAUAAACAGCCGACUUUAGGAAACACUCGGGGUUUAACUGUGACGGAGCUCGUUAAACAAACAGUUCAGCAGAUGAACUGAGUCUGUGGAUGUCAGAGCGGCCCAGAGGCCCCAACAGGCUAACAGUCCGUUUGUGGUGCAUCAGAGGAGUGCGAAUGUGCUUUCCACCAUCCUCAGACCUCAGAUCCAUUCAGUUCUUCCUGUCAAACGGCCUGAUUCACUGGGUCCAGUGGAAACCGAGUGUUUGUUACUGACCCACGUUUUGACCUGCUGUGACUGCUGGAAUGAUGUGGAAAUGAUGUGGAAAGUCUUUAUCUAAAGCUCACAAAGGAGCAGAGAGGGGAAGCUGCAGGUUGGUCUCAGAUCAACACGUUUCACAACGCGUCACAAUGUGAGGAAUUCCAGCUGACGCUUCCUGUUUGUUAUGUCGAACACGUGAAUGAAUCAGUUAGACGAAUUUGGUUUUGGAGGGAGAAAAGUUCUUUUAUUUACUUGUUGUAACUAUUUUGUGUUUAUUUUUAAUUUAAUAUUAUAUAUUCAUAAUAUCAUUUGUUUGAUUAUUGUUCUUUUGAACAUUAUUUUUCAUGGUUUUAUUCCUAAUUUUACACUUUUAGGUAUUUAUUGCCAUUAAAUGUUUGCACUGAU